RNAcentral lists this ribosomal RNA (254 nucleotides) under uncultured bacterium. RNAcentral describes it as "partial 16S ribosomal RNA". It matches the Rfam family "Bacterial small subunit ribosomal RNA", at positions 524 to 776 of the family's 1533-position model. The record is from RNAcentral.
UACGAAGGGGGGCUAGCGUUGCUCGGAAUUACUGGGCGUAAAGCGCACGUAGGCGGGUCAUUAAGUCGGGGGUGAAAUCCUGGAGCUCAACUCCAGAACUGCCUUCGAAACUGAUGAUCUUGAGUUCGGGAGAGGUGAGUGGAACUGCGAGUGUAGAGGUGAAAUUCGUAGAUAUUCGCAAGAACACCAGUGGCGAAGGCGGCUCACUGGCCCGAUACUGACGCUGAGGUGCGAAAGCGUGGGGAGCAAACAGG